RNAcentral lists this ribosomal RNA (427 nucleotides) under uncultured bacterium. Its description in RNAcentral is "partial 16S ribosomal RNA". It matches the Rfam family "Bacterial small subunit ribosomal RNA", at positions 355 to 774 of the family's 1533-position model. The record is from RNAcentral.
UGGGGAAUAUUGCACAAUGGGCGCAAGCCUGAUGCAGCCAUGCCGCGUGUAUGAAGAAGGCCUUCGGGUUGUAAAGUACUUUCAGCGGGGAGGAAGGUGUUGAGGUUAAUAACCUCAGCAAUUGACGUUACCCGCAGAAGAAGCACCGGCUAACUCCGUGCCAGCAGCCGCGGUAAUACGGAGGGUGCAAGCGUUAAUCGGAAUUACUGGGCGUAAAGCGCACGCAGGCGGUCUGUCAAGUCGGAUGUGAAAUCCCCGGGCUCAACCUGGGAACUGCAUUCGAAACUGGCAGGCUAGAGUCUUGUAGAGGGGGGUAGAAUUCCAGGUGUAGCGGUGAAAUGCGUAGAGAUCUGGAGGAAUACCGGUGGCGAAGGCGGCCCCCUGGACAAAGACUGACGCUCAGGUGCGAAAGCGUGGGGAACAAACA